GUGUUCAGGCAAAGAUUGCCUUUUGGGAUGCAUCAACUUUAUCUUGAGGAAACAUCAGAUAAUCUAUGUAGAAACAGAAAAUAUUGUACAUGUGAAACCGAAAAAUAAAAAAUAAAACAGGAAAAUUUGAACCAAAGAUCAAUGUCUUGGCUCAUCAUUGCCAUUUAGAUGGAGAUGCACCUCUUCCACAAUGGGCGUGAUAUGCAUCUCUGUUACAUGGGGUGCCAUAAGAUGGUCUCACGAGAGAGUACUAGAGAUAGACCGAGACAACAUCUUGCAAAUCUCGACUAUCCUGGCUAGACCUUCACAAACUAAGCAGCUGUAGCAUCGGCACACACAACUGCCCAUCGUAGUUGCAGAUUUCAGCAGGACCUUACUAUAGGUACAUCAAGCUGUCUGAAUAACUGAGGCCGAAGCAUCCAGCGAAACCAUCAGGACUGUUUUCCAACAUGUACAGGAAGGAAAUGUGAAAUAAAAUAGAGUAAUAUUUUGGAUUCUGGAAUCCAUUGGAGCCACAAUGGGUAUCAUACAGGAAUGGAUAUACUUUGCAGCAUACUUUCAGCGACGUGAUGCAGGUGGGCCAGCAAAAGGAUACUGACGUAAGCCUGACAAUGAUCUUCCAGGUUCAUCUCUAGGAUGCUGAUAUAUGUGGC
RNAcentral lists this unclassified non-coding RNA (653 nucleotides) under Hevea brasiliensis (rubber tree). The record is from RNAcentral. Lineage: Eukaryota; Viridiplantae; Streptophyta; Magnoliopsida; Malpighiales; Euphorbiaceae.